GCCCAGCUAGCUCAGUCGGUAGAGCAUGAGACUCUUAAUCUCAGGGUCGUGGGUUUGAGCCCCAUGUUGGGCA
This 73-nucleotide transfer RNA is filed under the name Mus caroli (Ryukyu mouse). Its description in RNAcentral is "tRNA-Lys (CTT) (tRNA-Lys-CTT-3-1)". It matches the Rfam family "tRNA". Rfam says of the family: Transfer RNA (tRNA) molecules are approximately 80 nucleotides in length. The record is from RNAcentral. Lineage: Eukaryota; Metazoa; Chordata; Mammalia; Rodentia; Muridae.